RNAcentral lists this microRNA precursor (83 nucleotides) under Homo sapiens (human). RNAcentral describes it as "miR-HCC2". Lineage: Eukaryota; Metazoa; Chordata; Mammalia; Primates; Hominidae. The record is from RNAcentral.
ACUAUGAGGGCUAUGUGGCUAAUUGAAGAGCAUGCAAUGAGUGAUUCUAAGUCUGUUUGUCGUAGGCAGAUGGAGCUUGUUAU